AUCCUGGGGAUUACACAGGGCAGUCCUAGUCCUAGUUUGGGAGAGGACCUCACAAUGUGUGAAUAUCAGGAAGUGAGGCUCAUUGAGGGCCAUCUUGGAGGCUGGUCACCACAGCAGUGUUGAAUAAAAAAACUGACAAAGUCCCUGCUCUUAGAGUUAACAGUCUAGGGGGAAAGGUAGAGGAAGAUAAUAAAUCAAUAUAUAAAUAAAUAGAUACUUGCAGAUAAUUGUAAGCACAAUGAAGGAAAUCACACAAGACAAUAAAUUAAAGUAGGGAUCAACAGAGGAUAGUCAUUGGCCCAAUCUGGCCUGCUGCCUGCUUUUGUAAAUAAAGGUUUAUUGGGACUCAGUCACGCCCAUUCACUUAGGUAUUGUUUAUGGCUGCUUUCAUGCUGUAACAGAGGAUUUAGGCAGUUGCAGCAGAGACCAUAUAGCCUGCAAAGGCUUGUAUAUUUAGCUAAGUUGGUCAGGGAAGGUCUUUUCAAGAGGUGACAUUUGAGCAGAGACCUGAAUGGUUAGAAGGAAGCAGCCAUGGGAAGAGCUGGGGAAAGAGUGUUCCAGAAAAGGGGGACAUCAAGUUUUCUCAUCUAUGAAACGAGUAGAGUCUAACCUAAGAUGCUUCAGCUGUAAGAAGCACUAGCAUUGAGUGUAACUGCUAAGAAAGAAAACUGCCAGCCGAUCUCACCACCAGUGAUCUCAGGAUGCCGUUGACUCACAGACACAUCGUACCUUCAGAGACAUAAGAGACCCAGUCAUCGAUGUCCUCCGUGAUCACUGCGGCCCCUGGUGUCAGACAACUGGCAGUUUGAAUCUCAGCUGUCACAUCAGUUACGGACCUUGGCCUGACAACACUCCCAGAGGGAGGCGCCAUUCCCAGUUCGCAGAUGAGGCUCAGAGAAGUGGAGUUACACUGAUCCCAGGCCAGAACCGUUGUCACCUCCCUUGGGGAAGCUGAAAGGGUCGCCCUAGUGUUCCCACACCUGGGCAUCCGGAGUCUAGCCGCCCAGCAAGCCCUCUCCCCCCAUCACUGGAUGCCGUGGCGCGCUGGUGACAUGUAGCAACUCGCUCCCCAGGGGCAAAGCCUUGGUCUGUAGCUCUUGCCCAUUCUCAGCCCCCUCUCACCAUCAGUACCACACUGCCAAACAUGAAGAGAAGCUAGCAACUGGCUCUCUAGCGCAUACCCCUGAGUGAGUGAAUAUAAGGUUGGGGUGUGUGGUGGCCACGGCACGAGCCCAACUUACCUAGUUUAUCAGGGGAAAGGACCAAGGUGGCAACAGACCUGGCUAGAAAAUCUCGAGGGCGUCCUUGCCUUUAUUCUUUUUUAAAACAACACUUGCCUUUAUGAAAUGUCCCCAUGCCUCCUCAUCCCCUAUGGCCGGCCGUUGGCCCAGGUCCCUGGCAGUGACCCAAAAUCGGGCUCCAUCUUGGACCCUGUUGUCAUCCUCCCAGAUCUUUCCAUCACUCUCCCACCGCGCCCCUCCCUUCUUUGAGAGGGAGGAUUGACUUUCGCUCUCUCUACAUAGUGAGCACUUGGAAUCAGGGGUCGGGGUUAGAGUCCCACUUCUGCCUCUACGCUGAGCCUCGGUUUUCUCAGCUCUAAAAGGCGAAGGGGGACAGGGAUAAUAAUAUCUAACUUGC
Long non-coding RNA from Zalophus californianus (California sea lion), 1638 nucleotides. RefSeq lists it as uncharacterized. Lineage: Eukaryota; Metazoa; Chordata; Mammalia; Carnivora; Otariidae. The transcript is spliced from 4 exons. The record is from RefSeq and is a predicted model, not a curated record.